This is a long non-coding RNA of Pecten maximus, 3677 nucleotides long. RefSeq lists it as uncharacterized. The transcript has 2 exons. The record is from RefSeq and is a predicted model, not a curated record. NCBI's taxonomy places the organism in Eukaryota, Metazoa, Mollusca, Bivalvia, Pectinida, Pectinidae.
UUUUUUUUUUUUUUUUAACAAAAAUGUGAAGUAAAACAUUUUUGUUUUAAGUUUUAUUUUCCAAUUGAAUCCAAUUUAAUACUGUCCUCAAGAAAAGUGAAAAAGAAUCCUCAAAAUCGUGAAACUUUACAGGGCUUUUAUAAUCCUGAAAUUUAGGAUUAAUCAGAAUCUAUUCAUAAUAUUGUACAUGUAUAGUUUAUCAAGUGAAUCUCUUGUUUUGAAUACAAAGUUAGUUGUUUUAUCAAAGUUAAUGAAAAUCAGGGAGACCCUACUUGAGGGAGAUAUGUAAAUACUUUUAAACUGUACUCUUUUGAGGAUGGGACUUUGAUGGUCUCCAGGAGGGAGAUAUGUGAAUGAUUUUUAAACAGGGCUCUUUGUGGAUUGGACUUUGAGGGCCUCCAGGAGGGAGAUAUGUAAAUGAUCUUUCAACAGGACUUUUUGGGGAGGGGACUUUGAUGGUCUCCAGGAGGGAGAUGCAUAUCUGAUAUGAUUUUACAUGACGCAAGAAGUCAGGUUGGUGCUUAUGUAUAUAUGGUUGUGGAUUGUAAGCUACAAGCUUGUGAUGUAUUUAUUCAUUCAGAGCCUAACUGUACAUGUUCAUCCUUUAUAUUACUAAUGAUAGCAUACAUCUUAAUUAUUGUAAUAUCUGUUAUGCCCAUUUUUCUGGACUAAUCACAUCUUUCCUAAGGUUAUUGAUCAUCAACAGAUGUGUAUGGUACAGAUAUUUAGGCUUGUUUCCCGGGUUAUAAAAUUCUGAUAUUUUCUGUCUGCCUUUCUGUUGAAGUUGUUGCCCUUAAAAGCUUCGUCAUUUCGCUGUUUUUUGGGGUAAUCAUUUGAAACACAGAAUAAAAGUAACAAAUCUUGAUUGAGGCUGGCUUAAUGGAGUAUUCAUCAUUCAACGAUUGAUGGGUGCAGCUGUGCUGUAUGAAAACUAAAUGGCUGAUUGAUGUUUGAAAAUUUCUGCGCAAAUCACGGCUGAUGUAUGUACAUGUAUUUACUUAAUGAAAUAUCAUAAUAAUGAAAACAAACAUACAAUUUCUGGUCUAUUGCAUCAUAUUGGGCAGAAAUAUUUUAACCUGUAUAUAUGAAUUAUGUCUCUCCUGUGGUCAAGAACGCCGGCCACGCAGCCUCAGGUGAAGGUCCGAUGUGUGGUGUUGGUCACUCCCUACCCGAGGCAGUUGGUAUUUCUCAGGAAGUUGAGAAAUGGACCCGUUUCACCAUCUGAUAGCAUGAAAGGGGCCUCUCGUGUGUUGUUGGUGUGGUAGUCACCAACUGCUACAAGAAAACCCUGCUUCAAAAUUACUCUCGACUGUUCAUGGGGCAAUAUACCCAGUUACCAAACAAACAUUUUUUUUUUUUAAUUCUUUCAUAUAAAUGUAAUCAUCUGUUUUUAUAAAGCCACUGCUGGACAGAUGGACAUUUCAAUGUUUCUUUUGUAUCAUCAAAACUGUCAUGGAGAGAUACAACAUUUCUCUACAUUAGAGUUUAUAACACCACAGAUUUUGAUCACUGGUAUUGUAAUCUAUAAGUCCAUGGUUAAAAUACCAUACAGGUACUUAGAUUUUGAAUUUGCUAUGACAUAUCAAAUAUCAUAAUGAAAACAUGUUUUACAAAAUAUCCUGCCUGCUUUAUUGAACAUAACUGCAUUUACAAUCAUGCCUUAUACUGCACAUUACCGUCUCUUACCAAAGAUUAUCUCAAAUUACUCAUCUUGUCACUUUUUUGUCAAGGCCUGCGAAAAUUCAAACUUUUUUAUAGACUUGUUUCAUAAAAUCUCAAAUUAAAUUAAACCCAUUUAAGAUCCUAUUUACCAAUAUAUAUUUAUGGCCAGACAUCUCAUCAUGGAUCAAAUAAUCAUCACUCAAUGUUAAUCUUCUGUCUUUGAUGUCAUCAUUUCAUGAAUUUGUUUAAAAAGAUAUAUACAUGUAUUCAUAUGACAUCAUCAACAUUUUAUGAAUUUGAAAUAUAUUCCUGUUUGUAUUUCCUUAAGAUACGUUUGUCAUAUCAUUUAUAGUCCAGAUAGUCUAUUGUUUGGCUUUUCUACUGUGAUGAAGUGCAGAUGUUAAUGUAUAGUGUUGUACAUAAUGUCAGAUUUGUGAUCGUUAAGGUCAGAUUUGGGAUCGUUAAGGUCAGAUUUGUGAUCGUUAAGGUCAGAUUUGGGAUCGUUAAGGUCAGAUUUGUGAUCGUUAAGGUCAGAUUUGUGAUCGUUAAGGUCAGAUUUGUGAUCGUUAAGGUCAGAUUUGUGAUCGUUAAGGUCGUGUUUGUGAUUGCCAAGGUAAGAUUUGUGAUGAAGUCCAAUUGUGAUUUGUCAUUUAAACCUAAAUUACUGUAUUAAAAAAAAUGUGCAUGUAGGCUAUGAUUUAAGGCUGUAGGCUAGGAUUUAAGUUAAAAUUUAUUUUGUUGUUGAAGAUUUUAAACUAUUUUUUUGAAGGAAUAUCAAAAAUUGUAAUGAACUGAAUAACAUACUAUUCAUGCCAUACACGAAUUUGUUAUAUGUACUCUUUUAUAGAAUUAGUUGUAAAAUUUUAAAUUUUGUUUUUUGUUUUUUUUUUUACAUUCACUCUCACUAACAAUUCUGCAUUUUCUAUCAAAAUUGUACUUUCAUGAGACAUAACUGUUUUUGUGGACUAGGGUCAUUAUACACCAAGGCUAUCUGCACGUUGUGUGAUCAAAGGACAAAAAUAUGUGCAAAAUAGCACUUUUAACACACAGUUAAAUCACAAGUCAUUUCGUAGUUUCUCUUUUCAUUUUUUUUUUUUUUUUCAAAAUUUCUUUUUAUAUAUCCACAUCACAAUAAUAUAAGUGGAUGAGUGCAUUGUUACAUUCUCAUCAAUAUGAUGAUUUGAAAUACAAAGAAAUGUCUGAAAAAAAAGUGCUGUCAUAAUUUGGUAUUAAGAAAAAAGGAAAAAUCAUGACAAGAUAAAAUUCAUACUGAACAUAUCAGUCGAUGAAUUUCUACAAUUGAGUGUUUAAAUAAUUAAAACUAACAAAAUGUUUUCAUCCAGAUCAUUGUACCCAUUGAAUCAAUAUAAUUAAUUAAGUUACUGUAUCUUUUUAAGUACAAGACAAAGAAUACUUGGACAGAGAUACAUGUAACAUAGUUUAUCCUGCAAUAAGCACUGGGGUUAACACAUACCUGUAGCCUCUGGCUCAAAGUCGGGUUUUUGGGGGGGGGGGGGUUCUUACCACAAAGGCAAAAUGUCUUCAUGUCAAUUCAGUUCAAAUUCAGGUCAGUUUCAUGUGAAAUGUUCAGGUCAAAUUGACCUGAAAAGAGCAAAAUAUUCAAUCAUGUCAAGAACUUGACUUGGAUUUGCCAUUAAAAAAUAUUCAGGUCAAUUUCUCUUGACAUAAAUUUGACAUAAAUUUUGUUCUUUGUGAAAUUCAGAAAGAAAUCAGGUCAAUAUUUUUUUCAGGAUAAGUUUAUCUCAGGACGUUUUGCCUGUGUACAAGAUGAUGAAAUCCCAAUUGUGGGUAAAACUAAAACAAUAGAUAAUAUAAGGGUGGACUUAUUACUGAGCGAGGGCUUAUUUCAGGAUAAAUAGAUAUAUAACCCUAGUUUUUAAAUGCAAUAUUUUGUUACACAGGAUCCUCUAUUGAGAUUAAGGGGAGAGCUUUCUGUUAUAUUGAUAACAAUUUUUACAUGCUGUUUAUGAAUAAAGAUUUUAUUUGGAAAAAAA